AUCAUAAAUGGACUCUCAACCAGAUAGAGCAAGCUUGUGAAGAUGUAGAAUGUCUUGGCUUUCUGCUGGACUCACGUCUGCUUGAAGAAGUGAGAUAAUUAUUCUCUGUUGAUUAGAAUGGAAAAAGAAAUGCCAUUUAUUUGUAAAAAACCACAAUUGUAAGAGAAAACAUGAGAGGGGGUCCUUGAGAUAAGCAAAUGAUUCAUGCUGGCCUUGAAUUGUGUUUUGCCUGCUCCAUAGCAACUUUCAGCCGAGAGAAUGGGGCCCAGCAGCAGAAGAACUACGUUUACAGACUUCGCAAUUUUCCCGCAGUCCUGGCUCCUUCCAGGAACAUUCCUUCUAAUGCGCCCAGAAAACAAAUUGGGCUGGUUUCACCAUGACAACUACAAAUCUAAUCCAACAUGAAAAGUUAGAGGCAGGCAAUUUGUUAUAUACAAUUCAAGAGUUACCAAAAAAUCCUUCGGAUUUGGGGGCCUUCCACACCUCUUAGAAGUUCUCAGUGAAAAGUGCUGGUCAAAUCUAUGACACAAGCCAAACAAAGAUAAGAGUCCGCCGUGUAAAGCUAAAGGGACAUCACUGUGCAGUGGAGGGUGAGCGGCCGGAGCUGUGUCAGGAGACAGAUGAAGAUGCAGGAGAAGAAAGAUUCAGGGAGCAGAGAGGCAACUCCUGGUCAGUAAAGAUGACGGAGACUGGCAGCACCAGUGGCAGGAGGAGGGGAAAUGCCAGCAUCAGAGCAGAGGAGUCAGGGCACGGACACACGCCCUUCCAGCUGGGUUGAAAUUCAGCUCCGUUACUUGCUGGCUGCCACUUGCCUUCUCUGUGCCUUAGCAUCAUCAGCUAAUAAUGCCUCAAAAGGUUGCUGGGAAGAUUAAAAGUGUCAACAUGCAAAGUGCUUAGAAUAGUGCCUGGCAUGUGGUGUAUCUCCUGAAAGCCGUCCCCAACGAACAUUCUGCAUGCAGAUCUCAUCUCAGCAUCAGUUUCCUGGGGAUUCACCAUAAGAUUGUUGGUACUGUGGGUGGUCCUAGAAAUGAGACCUUAAAAAGGGAUUUGGAAGCUGGGUCAUUCACUGGUUGGUUGGCAACAAGAAUCCCAUCUCUGGUGGUAGGUGUGGUGCUGAUAGCGGAGCACACAGUGGUAGAGCAAUUUCGAAAGCUCUCACCUGUGGUGAACUGGGACAGGAUACUUGUG
Symphalangus syndactylus (siamang) is the source of this 1188-nucleotide long non-coding RNA. RefSeq lists it as uncharacterized. Lineage: Eukaryota; Metazoa; Chordata; Mammalia; Primates; Hylobatidae. The record is from RefSeq and is a predicted model, not a curated record.